RNAcentral lists this long non-coding RNA (482 nucleotides) under Mytilus galloprovincialis (Mediterranean mussel). Lineage: Eukaryota; Metazoa; Mollusca; Bivalvia; Mytilida; Mytilidae. The record is from RNAcentral.
AGGGUUUAGAAGAUCUGGUGAAAGGAAAGAGUUUUGUUUCCCAUUGUACCUAGAACAAGGGCCUAGUGACGAGAAACCAGUGGUCAGACAAGGAGAAAGAAGCUAAUGUAAACAAUCAUUUAGUGUGGGCAGCUACUUAAUAAUAUAACUAGGUUGGAAGGGAAGCUUUCUGUGAUCUGGGACAAUUGUAUGGUUUUAUUUUCGUCGGACUACACAUAAGUGUAUUUGUGGUGGACUUUUGUUAAUGAAUUUUAUAAUACACACCUAUUACGCAUAUUUAUUAUAAAGCAUUUUUUUUACUUUUUCACUGGCUUGUUUUACUUUGUAGGAUAGGGAAAGAAACAUUUUGUAUUCAAACCAGUUUUUCAUGAUGCCAAAAAAUUUGCCCCUUCAAAAUCUUAAUGAAUUCUGGGUAAUAUUUUCAAAAUUUAUGCAAAAGUGAUUUGAUUGGUUAGCAGAAUUCUAAAGAAUGAAUAACCAAC